Molecule: ribosomal RNA, 207 nt
Filed under: uncultured bacterium
Lineage: Bacteria
Description: partial 16S ribosomal RNA
Rfam family: Bacterial small subunit ribosomal RNA
Source: RNAcentral
CGCGUAGGCGGUUUUGUCAGUCGGAUGUGAAAGCCCCGGGCUUAACCUGGGAAUUGCAUUCGAUACUGCAUGACUAGAGUAUGGUAGAGGGAAGUGGAAUUUCCGGUGUAGCGGUGAAAUGCGUAGAUAUCGGAAGGAACACCAGUGGCGAAGGCGACUUCCUGGGCCAAUACUGACGCUGAGGUGCGAAAGCGUGGGGAGCAAACA